This 465-nucleotide ribosomal RNA is filed under the name Vreelandella stevensii. RNAcentral's name for it is "partial 16S ribosomal RNA". It matches the Rfam family "Bacterial small subunit ribosomal RNA", at positions 338 to 795 of the family's 1533-position model. The record is from RNAcentral. Lineage: Bacteria; Pseudomonadati; Pseudomonadota; Gammaproteobacteria; Oceanospirillales; Halomonadaceae.
CCUACGGUGUGCAGCAGUGGGGAAUAUUGGACAAUGGGCGAAAGCCUGAUCCAGCCAUGCCGCGUGUGUGAAGAAGGCCUUCGGGUUGUAAAGCACUUUCAGUGGGGAAGAAAGCCUUGGGGCUAAUACCCUCGAGGAAGGACAUCACCCACAGAAGAAGCACCGGCUAACUCCGUGCCAGCAGCCGCGGUAAUACGGAGGGUGCGAGCGUUAAUCGGAAUUACUGGGCGUAAAGCGCGCGUAGGCGGUCUGAUAAGCCGGUUGUGAAAGCCCCGGGCUCAACCUGGGAACGGCAUCCGGAACUGUCAGGCUAGAGUGCAGGAGAGGAAGGUAGAAUUCCCGGUGUAGGAGUGAAAUGCGUAGAGAUCGGGAGGAAUACCAGUGGCGAAGGCGGCCUUCUGGACUGACACUGACGCUGAGGUGCGAAAGCGUGGGUAGCAAACAGGAUUAGAUACCCUAGUAGUC